RNAcentral lists this long non-coding RNA (1278 nucleotides) under Helianthus annuus (common sunflower). The record is from RNAcentral. Lineage: Eukaryota; Viridiplantae; Streptophyta; Magnoliopsida; Asterales; Asteraceae.
GCCGUGUUAACUCAAAAAAGUAACCGAAAGAGUGGCAGUUCACGGCGGUUUCACAUUCUCUUUCCUAUUCUGAUGCAGUUAGGAGGUUUCCGGUGGUUUUACCCUAUCCACGUUCGCACGCUAUUUACCCCACUCCUCUUUUUUCUCCGGUUUACGUGGUAUUAAAGAAGGCAACCAUCCCUCCUUUCUUUCUUUAAUCACAGCAACAACCCUUCAUUUGUUUCUUCACUUCCAAUCGUUCAUCACCGAAAUCAGUGAUCGCUUCACGAUUGAAGCAUACAAUCACCACCAUUUAGCCUCCGGUCACAGGAAACCAUCGCAGGUUGCCGUUUGUUAAUAAGGGUGUGAACCAAUAAUCUUUACUUCUUCCUCAGAUCUUAUCAAGGUGAAUAAUGAUUCGAAUGAUAGUGUUUUGAAGUUAAUGUUACAUGGAGACCAAGUAUUCGAUGAAAUGUCUUAAUGACAAAAUCGAAAUGAUCAGUUUGGAAUGAUCAUGAAUUUUGAGCAUGAGAUCCCAUCUUCUUCAGAGCUUGAUUGUAAUUUGUCAGUUUGAAGAAUGGUUGAUAAAAAAGGUUUAUUUUUAACCACUAGAAUAAGUCCUGUUUAUCAAAUGCUUUACGCUGGUGGAUCUUUUCAUUUGCCACAAAGCGCAAGUCAUUAAAAAGUUAGAUGGUUGUGACUUUUUACAAAAGGAGAAAGCAACCCCAAACACCCUCAAUAUGGAUUCUCUUUGUUUGUUACGUUGUUAGUGUAACCCGUCCACCGGACGGGUAUUAAACUAGUUCGGUUGGUGAGCGUGAAGUUGCUGCUAGGACUUGGAAUGUGAUUGCUAGAUGGCUUAAAUUAAAUUGGACCUUCCGAGUUCAAAAUUUCCAUCUGAAUAAUUCAAAGCAAUUAGUAGUCGAAUCUAUUCUCAUGAUGGUUUGGUUGAUUUUGUGGCGGUUCAAACAUGACUUCAUCUUGGAGAAGGAUAGGAGGAAUCGUGUUAAAUUAACAAUGUUAAUAUCUUUAAUGCCAUUGUUCAUUACUCGUUUUUUUUUUGGGCACUCGAAUAGGUCUUGUAAGAUUAAGUUUGCUUUGUAGAGUGGUUAAAGAACCCGGUUAUGUGUGUGUUACAGUAAUUGUUCCUUCCGUCUAGCUAUUUGCUAGUUGGGCUUUUAUAUUUGCUAAUUGGGCUUUUAUAUGUUCUAUAUGCGGUUCAAAAACAACAAAAAGGCCGGGCCAUGAUCCAGAAACAUCAGCCCAAAAAAAAGACCUGGUGUGAUCACUUAUACUCUU